Molecule: ribosomal RNA, 508 nt
Filed under: bacterium RA7-11
Lineage: Bacteria
Description: bacterial SSU rRNA
Rfam family: Bacterial small subunit ribosomal RNA
Source: RNAcentral
UUUUAACGCUGGCNGCAGGCUUAACACAUGCAAGUCGANCCGGUAACAGGGGAGCUUGCUCCUGCUGACGAGCGGCGGACGGGUGAGUAACGCGUAGGAAUCUACCUAGUAGAGGGGGACAACAUGUGGAAACGCAUGCUAAUACCGCAUACACCCUAAGGGGGAAAGGAGGGGACUCUUCGGAGCCUUCCGCUAUUAGAUGAGCCUGCGUGAGAUUAGCUAGUUGGUAGGGUAAAGGCCUACCAAGGCGACGAUCUCUAACUGGUCUGAGAGGAUGACCAGUCACACUGGGACUGAGACACGGCCCAGACUCCUACGGGAGGCAGCAGUGGGGAAUAUUGGACAAUGGGCGGAAGCCUGAUCCAGCCAUGCCGCGUGUGUGAAGAAGGCCUUAGGGUUGUAAAGCACUUUCAGGGGUGAGGAAGGGUAACUGGCUAAUAUCCAGUUAUCUUGACGUUAGCCCCAGAAGAAGCACCGGCUAACUCUGUGCCAGCAGCCGCGGUUAAUA